CUACGGGUUGCACCAGUGGGGAAUCUUGCACAAUGGAGGAAACUCUGAUGCAGCGAUGCCGCGUGAGUGAAGAAGGCCCUUGGGUUGUAAAGCUCUUUUGUCGGGAAAGAUAAUGACUGUACCCGAAGAAUAAGGUCCGGCUAACUUCGUGCCAGCAGCCGCGGUAAUACGAAGGGACCUAGCGUAAUUCGGAAUUACUGGGCGUAAAGCGCGCGUAGGCGGUUAAGUAAGUUAAUUGUGAAAGCCCAAAGCUCAACUUUGGAAUUGCAAUUAAAACUACUUAGCUAGAGUUUAUCAGAGGAAAGCGGAAUACAUAGUGUAGAGGUGAAAUUCGUAGAUAUUAUGUAGAACACCAGUUGCGAAGGCGGCUUUCUGGGAUAACACUGACGCUGAGGUGCGAAAGUAUGGGUAGCGAAGAGGAUUAGAUACCCUAGUAGUC
This 439-nucleotide ribosomal RNA is filed under the name uncultured bacterium. Its description in RNAcentral is "partial 16S ribosomal RNA". It matches the Rfam family "Bacterial small subunit ribosomal RNA", at positions 339 to 795 of the family's 1533-position model. The record is from RNAcentral.